This 443-nucleotide ribosomal RNA is filed under the name uncultured bacterium. RNAcentral's name for it is "partial 16S ribosomal RNA". It matches the Rfam family "Bacterial small subunit ribosomal RNA", at positions 338 to 795 of the family's 1533-position model. The record is from RNAcentral.
CCUACGGGAGGCAGCAGUGGGGAAUAUUGGGCAAUGGGCGCAAGCCUGACCCAGCAACGCCGCGUGAAGGAAGAAGGCCCUCGGGUUGUAAACUUCUUUUAACAGGGACGAAGAAAGUGAUGGUUCCUGUUGAAUAAGCCACUGCGAACUAGGUGCCAGCAGCAGCGGUAAUACGUAGGCGGCAAGCGUUAGCCGGAUUUACUGGGUGUAAAGGGCGUGUAGGCGGGAGAGGAAGUCAGACGUGAAAUUCCGGGGCUCAACCCUGGAACUGCGUUUGAAACUGUUCUUCUUGAGUGAUGGAGAGGCAGGCGGAAUUCCGUGUGUAGCGGUGAAAUGCGUAGAUAUACGGAGGAACACCAGUGGCGAAGGCAGCCUACUGGACAUUAACUGACGCUGAGGCGCGAAAGCGUGGGGAGCAAACAGGAUUAGAUACCCUUGUAGUC